This is a small nuclear RNA of Oryctolagus cuniculus (rabbit), 164 nucleotides long. Its record names the gene U1. It matches the Rfam family "U1 spliceosomal RNA". From Rfam's summary of the family: U1 is a small nuclear RNA (snRNA) component of the spliceosome (involved in pre-mRNA splicing). Its 5' end forms complementary base pairs with the 5' splice junction, thus defining the 5' donor site of an intron. There are significant differences in sequence and secondary structure between metazoan and yeast U1 snRNAs, the latter being much longer (568 nucleotides as compared to 164 nucleotides in human). The record is from Ensembl. Lineage: Eukaryota; Metazoa; Chordata; Mammalia; Lagomorpha; Leporidae.
AUACUUACCUGGCAGGGGAGAUACCAUGAUCACGAAGGUGGUUUUCCCAGGGCGAGGCUCAUCCAUUGCACUCCGGAUGUGCUGACCCCUGCGAUUUCCCCAAAUGUGGGAAACUCGACUGCAUAAUUUGUGGUAGUGGGGGACUGCGUUCGCGCUCUCCCCUG